RNAcentral lists this transfer RNA (64 nucleotides) under Halice sp. JL-2018. RNAcentral's name for it is "tRNA-Arg". Lineage: Eukaryota; Metazoa; Arthropoda; Malacostraca; Amphipoda; Pardaliscidae. The record is from RNAcentral.
AAAUCAAAAGUAAAAAUUACAUUCAGUUUCGGUUUGAAAAUAUUAGAUAUUAUCUAUUGAUUUA